This 268-nucleotide ribosomal RNA is filed under the name uncultured Sphingosinicella sp. Its description in RNAcentral is "partial 16S ribosomal RNA". It matches the Rfam family "Bacterial small subunit ribosomal RNA", at positions 505 to 773 of the family's 1533-position model. The record is from RNAcentral. Lineage: Bacteria; Pseudomonadati; Pseudomonadota; Alphaproteobacteria; Sphingomonadales; Sphingosinicellaceae.
GUGCCAGCCGCCGCGGUAAUACGGAGGGAGCUAGCGUUGUUCGGAAUCACUGGGCGUAAAAGCGCGCGUAGGCGGUCUUGUAAGUUAGGGUGAAAGCCCGGAGCUCAACUCCGGAACUGCCCUUAAGACUGCAAGACUAGAAUCCGGGAGAGGUGAGCGGAAUUCCGAGUGUAGAGGUGAAAUUCGUAGAUAUUCGGAAGAACACCAGUGGCGAAGGCGGCUCACUGGACCGGUAUUGACGCUGAGGUGCGAAAGCGUGGGAGCAAAC